GAUAAAGAAUAUUAUUACCACCCUUUUUGGUUAAAACUUUUUCUAACGGAUGUGAAAAAGCUUAAUAAUAAAGGCAAACAAAGUUGUUUUUGAUUUGUAUUUCGAUCCGCCCGUACCCGACUUCAACAGUUGGUUUCUCUCUCUUCUCUUCUUCUCUCGCGUCACUCACGGGCUGAGCAACUCGUCACCGACCAGCCACCACCUCUCACCACUUGGUUUCUCUCGCGUCACUCACCGGUCGGAGUCGUCGUCGAUUGCAGCAAUUAACCAUGAAGAUCGCAAAAGGAUACUCAAACGGCUCCUCCUAACGCUAAUGGGUCAAAACCCAAAUCAGCCCGGAUCAGAUCCAGUACUACAAAUCCAAAUCGGCCCGGAUCAGAUCUGUGCCUAGUCAAGAGAGGUCCUGCGCUCCUGUGGUAAAUAGCAGAUUUAUUAAAGAUGAGGUCUUAAGUUCUAACUUGAAUGAUGCAUGAGUUAAUAAUUAACAAAAAUCAGACUUUUUCACAUCUAUUAAAAAAGUUUAACUAAAAGAGUGGUGAUCAAUAGUUAUCAUCCAAUCUCCCCCGGGAGACAAGUUUCUGAGUUGUAAUUGUUUUUCUACUUUUACUAGAACUGUGUUAUUUGAGCAGCUUGAAAUUUCAGUUUUACAAGUAAAUAGAUUUGCAAUUUCGCUUUUUAAUUUUAUGAAUCUUUGAAUGAAUGCCUCUCUAAAAUCUUUACUUUUCAAUGAAAAUAUUUAUUACAUUACAACCUCGUCUGACAAAUGUGCUUUCAAUUUGUUCGACUUUCGUUUAAUAAGGUGUUUUUGUCCUGUUUCGAUCCAAGAUUGUGACAUUACAACCUUGCUAUAAAUAAUUGUGGAGAACUUCGAACGUUGGAGAGAAAGGAACCAACCACUAACGGAAAUGGUGCAUGUAAUUUGAAGGAUAUAAAAUAAUUUGCGGCCAGCAACGAGUGCAAAGGAACAUAUGAUCUGGACUGAUUUGAGCCAUUAUGAGUCCUUUUGAAUAAUAUUGUUUUGCUGCGCUUGGGAGGACUUAAACUUACUUUACAACUUCAUUGAAUGUUCAUCAAAAGGAAAAUAAAUAAAUAAAUAAAUAAUCGAUCUUGCAUAGAUUAUUUUUCUUUUCUUUUUUUUUCCCCUGAUUAGUUGGGAGGAUAUUUUGGUAAUGGUUUUGAUGGCUUUCUUAGGAGAUUAAUUAUUUAAUUUCCUCUUCAGUUUUAUGCUUUUGCAGCUAAUUGACGUUCGCUAUAUAAUUAGCAAUGAAUUAAACUACUUAAAAGGGAAGCAUAUAGUAGUGUACACAUCUUCCUCAGAGAUCAGAAUAAAUAAAUUAUGGUGGUGUAAAACUUCUACACAAUUUCCAUCCAUCUUUUUCCCAAUCGAUAAUCACAAUCGACCAUGCAAAGAUUGAAAAGAAGGAACUAGCUUGAAGAAUCUAGUGAAAAAACUUGGAACAAAAUAACAUAAUAGUUACAAAUAUAAGAACUCUACAUCCUUAUUUAUAUCAAGAGUUUAUAAUAUUAAAUUACAAUCUUUGUAAUAGAAACACUUUAUUAAAUGAAGGAGGAAUAACUUAAAAGCAUCGAUCGAUCGAGACUGCAAUAAUACAACAAAGAUUAAAGAGGCGUUCAUACAAAGAUUCAUAAAACUAAACAUGGGUUUCCUGGGGGCUCCUGGAAACUUUCAAAAGUUCUUUCCAUCGCGUCUGACUUUUUUGAGAAAUGACGCGAACACAGUACGAUUGAGUUAUCGUGUUUUUCCAACAUCACUGACCCGCUGAGGAUUUUUUGUGUUGGUUCAUCAGCCGUCUGCUUAAGAGAACUAGUACUACUCAUGAUUUGCUCUUAUUCAGUAUAAUGAGUAUUUGCUCCUGAGAAAGCUUGCUAGCUCAGUGUUAAUGAGGCUAGCUAUAUAUGCUACAAAAUGACUCAAAAACUUAACAGAGAACCAAAACCAUAUUCAUGAACCUCUCAUGAAUCAGAAUCAGAAUAAACAAAGGAAUUGCAUUCCACCUUUCUCAUGACAAAAAUAAUGCCGAUAAAGGUAAAUUUGAGAAUCGAAUAAUUCAAUAAUCAAUCAAGAAUAAUUCGAUGAUCAGAAUAACAGCAGAUGGACGCGAAAAUCAGAAACAAAGUGGCAGCGGCUUUGUGGCGUUCGUGUGGUUGUUCUGGGCGGUGAUUGACGUCGAUGACGCUGAUGUGUGGUCAUCGAUGUCUUAUGAAUGUGAGGGUGGGUUUUAUUGUAACAUAUGUACUUUUAUUUUCUAGUUAAGUCUAUUAUUUUUUCUUCAACAUAAAUUUUUAAAAUCAUUAGAUUUAUUACAAAUUGUCACUGGUAAAUUUUUGACUCGACACGAUGAAUAAUGAAUGUAGGUUGUCAAAUUUGGCACGGGUAUUAAUGGAUUGUGUUUAGAAUAAUUUAAAUUUGACGCCAUAUGAAAUCAAGUCAGCUCAAACGCUAUCCAACAGCAGUGCAGUCAGAUUUUAUUUCAACACAAAGGUUUGGCAUUAGCUUAAUUGUUAACAAUAAUAAUAGUUAUAAUAAUAAUAAUUUUUUCCUCUUUUGUUUUUUGUUAUUAUUUUAUCUCUCUUCCUUUGUUCUCUCCUCUUCUUCUUCUCUUUUUUUUUCUUUCUCUCUCCUGCAAUUUCUUUUCAAUUUCAUCUUCUUAAUCAUCAUCAUCAUCAUCACAAAUAUCUUCUUCUUUCUCCUGUCAAUUUCGUUUCUUCUUCUUCUUCAUCAACAUUAAAAUUCAGUUUCAUCUUCAUCAUCGUCAUCACAAUUACAUCAUCUUCAUCAUCAUCACCACAGUUACAUCAUCAAUUCAUACUUUUCAACGGAAAGAGGGGUAUUUUUGGAAUAUUAAAAAAAUAAUGGGGAUGUCUUCUUCACGAGGGGAAAUGGGAUUCUGAUUCCCAACUCUCUCCUGAAAUCAGAAACUCAGUAAUCACUUCAUAUUUUGGAUGGAACCAUAUAAAUUAUUCUCAUUCUUUUUUUUUUUAAACGAAAUUGUCCCCAUUCUUAAUUUCAAUUUAACAAAUAAAUAAAUUUUUUAUUAUGAUUCCGCUAUUUCCAUUCCGAUUCCGAAAAUAUAAACACACCAUAAAAAUAAUAUUAUUCAUUUUAUCGGGGCCUGACUAUUAUAAAGCGGAACCUAUCACUUGCGUUGGAACUACGGCCUGUAGGUUGAGCGUAGCUUCAAAAAUUACCUUAAAGAGGAAAAUAUCAUUACACACAAUCUCUCUCUCUCUCUCAUAAUUAAGUUCUUCUCGCGCCCUUUUUUUUUUUUGGGGGGGGGGGGGGGGGGGGGGGGGGGGGGGGGGGGGGGGGGGGGGGGGGGGUUUGCAAAUAUCUUGUAGAAAGAUGAAAAAUUCUUGUCCAUUCUUAAUUAAUUUGGGAUCAUAUUUCAGUUUAAGUACAUGUAUAGUCUCUAUGUACUCAAAAGUACCUUAAAAAUACUUGCUAUUAAAUAUAUUACAUUCAUAUUCUUAUUCUUUUAUUUGCUUUUAAUGUAAUACUCUUGCAAUAAUAUUUUUGGGUAUAUUAAUUGAUAUUAAAAAAAAAGGUUAAUUAACAAAUUAACCAUAAAAGUAAAAUUCUUAUAAAAAUUUUUAAUUCUUUUAAAUUUUUAAUCUUUAUUCAAAUUAUCUUAAAAGAUAAAAAGAAAAAAAAAAUCAUUAUACGGAAUCUGAAAAAAAAUCACUAUACGGAAUCUCUCUCUCAUAAUUAUGUUCUCCUCUUUCAUUUGCUUGGUGCCUUUUUUUUAUUUUUUUUAAAGUUGGCAAAUCACUUGAAUAUAAAAAUAUGAAAAUUUUUUGUGUAUCCUUAAGUAAUUAGGUCUUUAUUUUUGGCGCUUAGGAUUUGAUUUAUUAACGGUUUUUUCUGUUUUGAAAAUUUUGCAUGUUCUUAUUAAGCCAUGUCUAUUUUCAAUUUUUUCUUCAUAUAGCAUUGCCUUAGAAACUAAUAAAAUAUGUACAUAUUUCAUUAGUUUUUAGAAGAGAGCGAUACUAUAAAUUGAAAAUUGAAAGGGGAAGAAAUUGGAGGGCAGUUUUGGAAUCAUUGGGGUCUUAUUUUGGGGUAUCUUGAAUAGAGUGGUUUUAUGAGGAAUUUUUAGGGGUGUCAAAAUCUCGAGUCCCCUUAUGAACACUCAGGACACAUACCUUUCAAAUCCAUUGGGCAUAGACUAGGUUCAAAGCUAACACAUAGUCACGUACCCUUUAAAGGGGUCAAUUGCUCAAAAGUGACUUCUCUGUGAAGCUAAGGAUAUUUCUUUGGGUAAUUUGUACUUGAAGUUUGUAACUAGAAAGACAGUAACUGCAGAAUUUAAAGCACUUUUGAUUUAACUGAUACUAUAAGCAUAGUUCUAUAAUUCUCCAAGAGAAAUACAAUACUGAAUUCAAUAAGCUACAACUGAGAGCUAAAAUGCUGAAUUUUAUCUACUUAUAGGUUACAAGCUAGUAGCAUGUGUAAUAUUUAUAGUAGAAGUUAGUUACAAUAAUACAAAUACUCUCUUACCUUGAUUUUACUUUCUCUGCUUUUCUCUGUAUCCAAAUACAUCGUUAUAAAGCUUCACAAAAGUUAAUUAAACCAUUUAAUAUUUUAUAUCCUUCAAAUUACAUGCACCAUUUCCGUUAGUGGUUGGUUCCUUUCUCUCCAACGUUCGAAGUUCUCCACAAUUAUUUAUAGCAAGGUUGUAAUGUCACAAUCUUGGAUCGAAACAGGACAAAAACACCUUAUUAAAUGAAAGUAGAACAAAUUGAAGCACAUUUGUCAGACGAGGUUGUAAUGUAAUAAAUAUUUUCAUUUUAAAAUAAAGAUUUUAGAGAGGCAUUCAUUUACAGAUUCAUAAAAUUAAAAAGUGAAAUUACAAAUCUAUUUACUUGUAAAACAAAAAUUUCAAGCUGCUGAAAUAACACAGUUAUAGUAAAAGUAGAAUAAUAAUUACAACUCAGAAACUUGUCUCCCGGGGGAGAUUGGACGAUAAAUAUUGAUCACCACUCUUUUAGUUAAACUUUUUAAAUAGAGGUGAAAAAGUCUGAUUUAAAAUUUUUUAUUUUUUUAAUUAUUAACUCAUGCAUCAUUCAAGUUAGAACUUAAGACCUCAACUAAUGCGGAAAAUGGUGGAUUGGAUAUGGAUUGAGUCAAAUCCGCAUCCAAUCCGUAGAUGUAUGGAUUAGAUUUGGAUUGAAUUUUAUCAAUCCGUGAAUUGAAUUGGAUUGAAAAAUUAUAAUCUGUAAAAUCAUGAAUCGGAUAUGGAUCGAUGUCCAAUCCGUAAAAUCCGAUCCGCGAACACCCCUAUUUGCUAUAUAUGCUCAAAGGCUUAGCAAAGAAUCAAACAUAUUCACGAUGAAACCUCUCAGGAAUCACAAUGAAGGUCGUUUUCUUCUCUAUUUCCGUGAGACUUCUUUUCCACUGAAAUUAAAACUCGAAAGAAUUCUGAUUUGAAAAAAUGAAUGAUCAGAAUUCAGAAAAUUCUUUUUGCAGAAGAGGAAUUAUUGAUUACUACUUAGACUGAUUAAAAAAAAAAAUUGCUUCUUCAUUUGUAUAAAUUUCAAUUUCUUUUUGAUUAAAUUGAAUGUUGACUAACGACGCAGGAAGUAAAAGUUGUCCGCUGCGCUUAAUUUUGAAUAAUAUAUCUUUUUGUGUUGAUGAACGCAAUUCAAAUCACCUUUCCCUUUUACGAUUGUCAUUGGCAUCCGAUUCCAGCAACACUCUUUUUGCAUUCAUUCGCUUAUUUCUACUGUUUCUUCGGGAAAGAGUUGUUGUUCAUGAUCAUGAAAAUGUUUUAUUUUGAUAAAGGGAAAAUUGCACCUAUACUCCCUAUAUUCAAUGAAAUGUAUAUGGAUUUCGUCUUCCGGCUCCUUAGUUUUUUUCCCUCUCCUCUUUUCCUCCCCUCUUCUCUCUUUUUAUUUCUUCAAUCCAAACUUACUGUAACUUAAGUUUUUAAAAAUGAUCAUACAGACACCCUUUUACCCUUUUACUCUAUUAACUUAGAAAAAUUGACUCUAAAUUUUAUAAUAUACAAAAAUAUAGUAUUAAAAUGCCUGUGAUGUGUGUGUGUGUGUAUAUAUAUUUAAUUUAAUAUGAUUAAUUUGAGAUAUGUUUUAUUAUUAAUAUUUGUAAAAGCAAGAUUUAUUUUAAAUUUUUUAAUAAAUAAAAAUAUAAUAUUCAAAUAAAUACAAAAAUAUUUUUAUUUUUUAUUAUUUUGAAUAUUAUAAAAAAUCUAUAUAUUAUUAAUAUGCCAAUCAAUUUUUUGUUAAUAAUAAAAUUUAUUUUACCCAAAUAUUUUUUACAAAUAUAUUUAUAAUAGGUACAAGCGUAAUACUAUAAGUAAAUAUAAUAAUUUUUAUUUUGAAGAUAUUUCAAUUAUUAAAACACUUAUUUUAAUAUCAUAGGUAUCUUAGAGAAAGAUUUUCUUAUUAAUGGUAUAUUUUCAUUUAUUAAAAGACAUUAAAGUAAAUUUUCUUAGUUAUUAUAUUAAAAGAAUAUAAUGAUUAAAAAGGAUUAUGCGUGACGAUGUGAGCAUUUAUGAAACCUUAGAGGUCUACUUAUUCAUUUUAGCAAAGCAUGAGGGCUUAGGUAUCCUUUUUCCUUCAGUAAACUAUCAAAAUUUAGCUACAAUAUUAUGAGCAAAUAGUACAAUUUCAAUAUAUUUAUGGGAGAUUAGAUAAAGAAUAUUAUUACCACCCUUUUUGGUUAAAACUUUUUCUAACGGAUGUGAAAAAGCUUAAUAAUAAAGGCAAACAAAGUUGUUUUUGAUUUGUAUUUCGAUCCGCCCGUACCCGACUUCAACAGUUGGUUUCUCUCUCUUCUCUUCUUCUCUCGCGUCACUCACGGGCUGAGCAACUCGUCACCGACCAGCCACCACCUCUCACCACUUGGUUUCUCUCGCGUCACUCACCGGUCGGAGUCGUCGUCGAUUGCAGCAAUUAACCAUGAAGAUCGCAAAAGGAUACUCAAACGGCUCCUCCUAACGCUAAUGGGUCAAAACCCAAAUCAGCCCGGAUCAGAUCCAGUACUACAAAUCCAAAUCGGCCCGGAUCAGAUCUGUGCCUAGUCAAGAGAGGUCCUGCGCUCCUGUGGUAAAUAGCAGAUUUAUUAAAGAUGAGGUCUUAAGUUCUAACUUGAAUGAUGCAUGAGUUAAUAAUUAACAAAAAUCAGACUUUUUCACAUCUAUUAAAAAAGUUUAACUAAAAGAGUGGUGAUCAAUAGUUAUCAUCCAAUCUCCCCCGGGAGACAAGUUUCUGAGUUGUAAUUGUUUUUCUACUUUUACUAGAACUGUGUUAUUUGAGCAGCUUGAAAUUUCAGUUUUACAAGUAAAUAGAUUUGCAAUUUCGCUUUUUAAUUUUAUGAAUCUUUGAA
RNAcentral lists this long non-coding RNA (7363 nucleotides) under Citrus maxima (pomelo). RNAcentral's name for it is "long non-coding RNA (CMAX_LNC003732)". Lineage: Eukaryota; Viridiplantae; Streptophyta; Magnoliopsida; Sapindales; Rutaceae. The record is from RNAcentral.